Molecule: ribosomal RNA, 1326 nt
Filed under: Vibrio sp. B1FLJ16
Lineage: Bacteria; Pseudomonadati; Pseudomonadota; Gammaproteobacteria; Vibrionales; Vibrionaceae
Description: bacterial SSU rRNA
Rfam family: Bacterial small subunit ribosomal RNA
Source: RNAcentral
UCUCGCGUCAGGAUAUGCCUAGGUGGGAUUAGCUAGUUGGUGAGGUAAGGGCUCACCAAGGCGACGAUCCCUAGCUGGUCUGAGAGGAUGAUCAGCCACACUGGAACUGAGACACGGUCCAGACUCCUACGGGAGGCAGCAGUGGGGAAUAUUGCACAAUGGGCGCAAGCCUGAUGCAGCCAUGCCGCGUGUGUGAAGAAGGCCUUCGGGUUGUAAAGCACUUUCAGUCGUGAGGAAGGUAGUGUAGUUAAUAGCUGCAUUAUUUGACGUUAGCGACAGAAGAAGCACCGGCUAACUCCGUGCCAGCAGCCGCGGUAAUACGGAGGGUGCGAGCGUUAAUCGGAAUUACUGGGCGUAAAGCGCAUGCAGGUGGUUUGUUAAGUCAGAUGUGAAAGCCCGGGGCUCAACCUCGGAAUUGCAUUUGAAACUGGCAGACUAGAGUACUGUAGAGGGGGGUAGAAUUUCAGGUGUAGCGGUGAAAUGCGUAGAGAUCUGAAGGAAUACCGGUGGCGAAGGCGGCCCCCUGGACAGAUACUGACACUCAGAUGCGAAAGCGUGGGGAGCAAACAGGAUUAGAUACCCUGGUAGUCCACGCCGUAAACGAUGUCUACUUGGAGGUUGUGGCCUUGAGCCGUGGCUUUCGGAGCUAACGCGUUAAGUAGACCGCCUGGGGAGUACGGUCGCAAGAUUAAAACUCAAAUGAAUUGACGGGGGCCCGCACAAGCGGUGGAGCAUGUGGUUUAAUUCGAUGCAACGCGAAGAACCUUACCUACUCUUGACAUCCAGAGAACUUUCCAGAGAUGGAUUGGUGCCUUCGGGAACUCUGAGACAGGUGCUGCAUGGCUGUCGUCAGCUCGUGUUGUGAAAUGUUGGGUUAAGUCCCGCAACGAGCGCAACCCUUAUCCUUGUUUGCCAGCGAGUAAUGUCGGGAACUCCAGGGAGACUGCCGGUGAUAAACCGGAGGAAGGUGGGGACGACGUCAAGUCAUCAUGGCCCUUACGAGUAGGGCUACACACGUGCUACAAUGGCGCAUACAGAGGGCGGCCAACUUGCGAAAGUGAGCGAAUCCCAAAAAGUGCGUCGUAGUCCGGAUUGGAGUCUGCAACUCGACUCCAUGAAGUCGGAAUCGCUAGUAAUCGUGGAUCAGAAUGCCACGGUGAAUACGUUCCCGGGCCUUGUACACACCGCCCGUCACACCAUGGGAGUGGGCUGCAAAAGAAGUAGGUAGUUUAACCUUCGGGGGGACGCUUACCACUUUGUGGUUCAUGACUGGGGUGAAGUCGUAACAAGGUAGCGCUAGGGGAACCUGGCGCUGGAUCACCUCCU